UAAGACUUAUGAUUACUAAACCACAUCUUCUGAAUGCAACUCAAACACUUUCAUUAAGCUAAAGCCUCUU
This 70-nucleotide transfer RNA is filed under the name Anolis tropidonotus. RNAcentral's name for it is "tRNA-Ala". The record is from RNAcentral. Lineage: Eukaryota; Metazoa; Chordata; Lepidosauria; Squamata; Anolidae.